Lucilia cuprina (Australian sheep blowfly) is the source of this 387-nucleotide long non-coding RNA. RefSeq lists it as uncharacterized. The record is from RefSeq and is a predicted model, not a curated record. The transcript is spliced from 2 exons. NCBI's taxonomy places the organism in Eukaryota, Metazoa, Arthropoda, Insecta, Diptera, Calliphoridae.
UUUUUGUGGAAAAAAGUUUUUGUUUAAAUUAUUAAAAACUAAAUAUCAAACACGCAUAAUAAAUAAAGCUUUAGUUAAAAAAGCUGUUAACUUAUGAAACUCACCUCGCAGUGCUCUCUCACUUUUGGUGGUUUAACGGUAACAUUCCUCUACAAUAGGAAUGUUUGUUUUGCAAAGCUGCUUGUGUGUGUUGAGAUUUACAACAAAUCUGUGUUGGAAUUAUAAAAAUGUGUCUUCAGUCCGAGAUCGACCAACAAACCUGACGAAUGUUUUGAAAUAAAAGCGGUGCAUUAAAUGUUGUUUUUAAAUUUUUUUAAUUUUGGCGCAGAGUGGGUUAAACCAACAAUAAUUUAAACAAAAGCUAAGAAAAAAGUGGCAAAUUUUAUG